Molecule: long non-coding RNA, 1230 nt
Organism: Wasmannia auropunctata (little fire ant)
Lineage: Eukaryota; Metazoa; Arthropoda; Insecta; Hymenoptera; Formicidae
Exons: 4
Source: RefSeq, a predicted model, not a curated record
UCUCGUAAAAGAGCUGUUUAAUCUCGCGAGUUUUCCUGUUACCGCCAUGCCUCGAAAUGCCCCGCGUUGAAAAUUUUGAAAUUGAUUUGUACAACUGCAACAUUGUUUUAUUUACGACGUCCGUGCGAGUAAUGACGCGGUUAACAAUUUAUGACAACAAAUGCCCGGCGACUGAAAGCGCGUACUUCCGGCAAGGUGGUACUUCGUACGCGUUGGUAUCGUACGAGUCGGGGAAUGAAUAACGGACCUGUCCGCCUCUCGUAAAAGGGAUAUCCGAUGCUCGAGCCGCCGACGUGCUGCUUCAUCUUCUUUGAGGACUACGCGAGUUUCGACGACUAAAAACCCGAUAAUUGACAGCGCGAGUACUAGUCCAUCUCGAGCGCUUUAUUGGCAUAACAGUAUGUCGGUCUGGCAUGCAUCAAUAAUGCAUCGUGUCCUUGAGAGAGACUUUGGUCAUUACUUUUCGCGUGAGAGAGUUAUGUGGGAAAAAAACGAACGAUUUUCUGGAUGACAAACUUUGACUAAUGUCGAGAGUCAGACAGCCAUCGAUAAAAUCGGCAUGCCAAGAAAACGAGGAAUCUUCGAACGAGUAUAAAAUUACAUAGCCGCGUACAAAGAAUAUUGUGAGAGACACGAUCUCUACUUUGUUACCGGAAGGCGCUUUGAAUGCCGGCGCGAAGGAAGUUGGAAUAAGGAUCUCGCGCAGGACGAAUUCACGUAUCUGAUACGGCGAAUCUCGGCAAACGGAGGGAGCGGCGCGAACACACGUGCAUACAAACGUAGCGCCCACGUUUUUAGUUUACGACUGCAAAUAGAAUCGAAUGACUCGCGAGAUUAAAGAGUCUUUUCCUGUUCGUCGCGCCAUUUACUCAGGAACGGGCCCUUUGAGAGCAAACCCCACGGAGCAAGCGGCAAGUUUCCAGCGAGAAAUGCCACGCUCGUGUAAACACGAAGAAGAUCUCGGGAAUGCAACGACUUCUUCACGGAUAAUCCAUAAGUGGCUGUUUUGUCCGGCACGUAGUGCCCAUUCUCGUGCCGCAUUUUCGUUACACGUGCUCCUCUGCUAAAUAUAAUUGUUUCCACGGAAAUAGGGUAAGAUAUAGUCAGAGUCUAUUAAACUACGUUUUCAAUAUGCAUGUAAUACCGAUUAGAAUUCUAUUAGAUUACUUUUAUAAAAUAAAUGUGUGUUAUGUCGCGAUGAAAAAAUUAGUACUAAAACUAAAAUAAAAA